CUCAAUUUCAUGAGCCAUGGGCGCAGUUUGUUUAAUUAACUAGCCAAUUUUCACAAUACCUUGUGGCGCUUUUCAUUCCGUCAGUUUGCGUUGUUGCUGCUGUCGAGUGUGACUUUUCAAGCGUGUGACCGGAGGUGAAAUUUUUAUUUCUGAUUUUUGGCAUUAGACCCGCGAAACAUUGACGCAAAAUGCUUAAAAAGUGCCGGCCAGACUGGCUGACUCUUUUGCUGGCCAGCCUGCGAUGGCGAUAAAUGUGCGCAGAUACGUUACAGACCGCGUCGCGUCGUCUGGCCGCUUUAAAUGGACAACUGGGAGUGGGUCACAGCUGCAGCUGUGGAUCCGUAGUGGAGCCUGCGGCCCGCCGAGGCAAACGAAGCGAUUAUAGGGAUCCAGACUUGGGACUAAGCCUUCCCCGAAACCAGUUCCUCUUCCCAGACAGACUUCGCUGCGAUUCUUUCUUUCGAAGCGUAAAAAUUUCAAUUUAUUUAUUGGUCAUGCGUCUGUAUCAUCGUAUCGUUUUUCGAACACUUUCUUUAUAUUCGUUACCCGAACUUCUGGAAGAUAUAGCUACAUGUGUCGUGUUGCGACCAGAAACCCCCAGUAUGUUGGCCUCGCUCUUGGACUUGGACUCACCAGCACGCAAAGCCGUGCCAAAAUGUGUGUCAAUGGCCUUUGGGGGCCCUUCUUUUCAUUUUUAUUUGGGGCGGAGAUACGAAGUCUGGGGCGUGUCCCAAGCGAAUUUUCACUAAAAUGAAAAUUAAGAGUGAAAACGCAAACAAAGCAAAAGAGGUGUGGACGACGAUUUCAACUGCAGGCCAUGCAUGACCCCGCGUAUUAGUGUCCCAUCCCCUGGCCGUCUGAUUGUCAUGCUAAAUGGGUGAAGUGAAACUACGACUGCGAUUUCGGACUGUCGAGAGCAUUGGCCAGCUCCCCAAAAGAGCAUUGCCUGUUUUCAGCUUUUUCUUCUCCUACUGUCAACUGUCAAACGAAAUUUACACGUUUUUCUUUCCAGCUGCACCUCACGAAAUAGUCGAGACUUGAACAAAGAAAUGGGGAGUGCGUGAGCCUCUUUUAGCUGAUUGAUUGUUUGGCAAAGUUUGCAUGUUAAUUGCCUUUAUGGUGGCGAUAGACGACAAAGCACACUUAAAAGUCUAAAACCCCAUAACUGAGUUCAUUGGAAUUUUAUUUUUUUAUCAGUCGAGUCGGCUGCUCAUUUUCUACAAACUGACAUUACUUGCUUUUGACUCUCACCCUGGCAAAGUCAAUGGAACUAAAGCAAAUAUAUCAAGGAUUUAAAACAAAGUGGUGGAUAAGAUAAUAAUACAAUGUUGACUAUUGUUAAGCAAUCAAAUCCUCUGGAAGCGGAACGGAAAUGGUCGAGGCUGCCCCAACAAUUCAAUUAAGCUGGCUCCUCCUGCACAUUUGAACGAUCGAACCCCAGUGGAGUCGACUCGGUUCCUACCUGCUAGUCUGGCUGAUGCGGAUUGAAAACAAAACAAACAGAGCUUAGACAACUCACAACAAUGCGGUCGUUGGACGCGCAGGCGCGCAGCGGGGGCGCUUAAUAUGCAGCCAGCGUAGCUGGCAAGUCGGAGAUGUAUACCCAUACCAUAUAGCCAGCAGCAGCUGGCGUCUUUCGUUCUUGCUGUCGCUCAACUGAUCAACUGGUUUAACAAUAAAAACAAAAGCUCA
Long non-coding RNA from Drosophila santomea, 1692 nucleotides. RefSeq lists it as uncharacterized. The record is from RefSeq and is a predicted model, not a curated record. NCBI's taxonomy places the organism in Eukaryota, Metazoa, Arthropoda, Insecta, Diptera, Drosophilidae. The transcript has 3 exons.